GCUUCCGGCUUGCGGCUUCCGGCUUCCGGCUUCCGGCGGAGCCCGCCCUCGACCGGCUGGGCAGUCAUGGCCGCGGAGGAGAAGGAUCCCCUGAGCUACUUCGCGGCCUAUGGCAGCAGCAGCAGCAGCUCAGGCUCCUCGAGCGAGGAGGACAACAGCGAGCCGGAGGAAACGAGUCGCAGGGCCCCGGAUCCGGCGACGUCGGCGGGCGGCUGCGGGAACCUGGCGGAGAAGCGGCUGCCUGGCCCCGACGAGCUGUUCCGGAGCGUGACUCGCCCGGCCUUUCUCUACAACCCGCUCAACAAGCAGAUAGACUGGGAGCGGCACGUGGUCAAGGCGCCGGAGGAGCCUCCAAAGGAAUUCAAAGUAUGGAAGUCCAACUAUGUAUCUCCUCCGGAGACCUACUCUGCUGAGAAGAAACCUCCGCCUCCAGAGCUGGACAUGGCGAUAAAAUGGUCUAACAUAUACGAGGACAAUGGUGACGAUGCCCCACCGAGUGCUAAGAAAGCUAGGCUUCUGCCCGAAGGGGAGGAGACCGUGGAGUCAGGAGGGGAAGAUGGCUGUUUUUCUGUGGCCAUUGGAAUAUUAUGACCCUCCUAGGAACGGGUGAGAAGGUAGAACUACCUACAUAGGACAGAAUUGAAAAUACAGUUUCAGAGAAGAUCUACCUAUGAUGAAAAAGACGAGCAUACUUCUAAAAAGCGCAAAAUAGAACCAGGAGAACCAACAAAGAAGAAAAAAUAAAUAGAAAACAAAUGACAAGAAUUUCUGGACUGCGAAACUUGUUGAAAUGGUCCUUUUCGACAGAUUAAGUUGAUAUUGUAAAUUAUUAUGAAACAACAUCUUCAUGAAAGUUCAUGUUAAUUAACUAGUGAGUAUUGCUGCAGGAACCUUCCACUGUAGAAUUCAUUUUUUAUUUAAAAAUAUGUAUUUAAAACUCAGAUGGUAUCUUGUGAUUGUGAAACUGACAACACUUGGAAGUGUUCUUGCUGUCACAGAAUUGGUGACACACUUGGAGAGUUUUGUCCCAUGUUGACAUACCGAUGUUCUAUGAACCUUUUAUAAAGGAAUAUAUUUUUAAAGUAAAUGUAAUGUACUGUGAACUCGUAGGUGCUUUGCAACAGUGUUUGUACAGUGUAAAUAGAUCAUGGAAAUAAAAUUGCCAGUGUUACCAGUGCUGCAUAACAGUAA
Phacochoerus africanus (Common warthog) is the source of this 1191-nucleotide RNA transcript. It is a transcript of the gene named chromosome 6 C1orf52 homolog, with no coding region annotated. The record is from RefSeq and is a predicted model, not a curated record. Lineage: Eukaryota; Metazoa; Chordata; Mammalia; Artiodactyla; Suidae. The transcript is spliced from 4 exons.